Molecule: ribosomal RNA, 501 nt
Filed under: Triticum aestivum (bread wheat)
Lineage: Eukaryota; Viridiplantae; Streptophyta; Magnoliopsida; Poales; Poaceae
Description: partial small subunit ribosomal RNA
Source: RNAcentral
AUGGAUAGGGGAGGUGGGCGAGGAGGGUUACUCCACCCACCAGAUCCACGCCGCCCCUGCCCAAAUCCUCUCCGCGUGCGCUGCACCCAAUCCCGUCCUCGCUCGUCUCGUCCGACGGCCAGGUCCCCAUCCUCCUGCGGUUCCCCUCCCUUUCUUCCUUCUCCUCCCUCACGACACGCCUCAUGUCUCCAUCUCGCGUCCUUGCUGCCGCCACAGCCUCUCCAGGAGGCUCGCCCUCCGUGCUGCAAAGCAGCAGGCCCGAACCUGGAGGAGGAAGAGGAGAUCCCGGGGUCUAGACGGUGGCUCGGUACAGUUCCUUUUCGAUAUGUUCUUCAUGGCGCCGAUGGCUUCCACGGUGCAGAGGAAAGUAUGCGUGCCUUCUGCUGGAAAGGGCUCGGUGGUUGGGAGAGUAGCGCCAUGAAUGAUGAAUGUUGGCGAUCUUUUUAUUGUGACACAACGCUUUCGAGUUUCAUGAGACAUGGCCAUUCUCAAAGGGUUUAA